RNAcentral lists this ribosomal RNA (303 nucleotides) under uncultured bacterium. Its description in RNAcentral is "partial 16S ribosomal RNA". It matches the Rfam family "Bacterial small subunit ribosomal RNA", at positions 507 to 807 of the family's 1533-position model. The record is from RNAcentral.
AGCAGUAGCCGCGGUAAUACGAAGGGUGCAAGCGUUAAUCGGAAUUACUGGGCGUAAAGCGUGCGUAGGCGGUUUGUUAAGUCCGUUGUGAAAUCCCCGGGCUCAACCUGGGAAUGGCAAUGGAUACUGGCAAGCUGGAGUGUGUCAGAGGAUGGUGGAAUUCCCGGUGUAGCGGUGAAAUGCGUAGAGAUCGGGAGGAACAUCAGUGGCGAAGGCGGCCAUCUGGGACAACACUGACGCUGAGGCACGAAAGCGUGGGGAGCAAACAGGAUUAGAUAACCCUGUAGUCCCUGUCUCUUAUAC